AAUGAACGUUGGCGGCGUGGAUUAGGCAUGCAAGUCGAGCGAAAACCGUAGCAAUACGGGGAAAGCGGCGAAAGGGAGAGUAAUACGUAGGUACCUACCCUCGGGUCUGGGAUAGCUGCGGGAAACUGCAAUUAAUACCGGAUGACGUCUCUGGACCAAAGGUGUGAUUCCGCCAGGGGAUGGGCCUUCGCCCUAUUAGCUAGUUGGUGUGGUAAUGGCGCACCAAGGCAACGAUGGGUACGGGUGUGAGAGCAUGCCCCCGCUCACUGGGACUGAGACACUGCCCAGACACCUACGGGUGGCAG
This 305-nucleotide ribosomal RNA is filed under the name uncultured Planctomycetota bacterium. RNAcentral describes it as "bacterial SSU rRNA". It matches the Rfam family "Bacterial small subunit ribosomal RNA", at positions 29 to 351 of the family's 1533-position model. The record is from RNAcentral. Lineage: Bacteria; Pseudomonadati; Planctomycetota.